GACGAACGCUGGCGGCGUGCUUAACACAUGCAAGUCGAACGGAAAGGCCCUGCUUUUGUGGGGUGCUCGAGUGGCGAACGGGUGAGUAACACGUGAGUAACCUGCCCUUGCCUUUGGGAUAACUUCAGGAAACUGGGGCUAAUACCGGAUAGGAGCUCCUGCUGCAUGGUGGGGGUUGGAAAGUUUCGGCGGUUGGGGAUGGACUCGCGGCUUAUCAGCUUGUUGGUGGGGUAGUGGCUUACCAAGGCUUUGACGGGUAGCCGGCCUGAGAGGGUGACCGGCCACAUUGGGACUGAGAUACGGCCCAGACUACAACGGGACGCAGCAGUGGGGAAUAUUGCACAAUGGGCGGAAGCCUGAUGCAGCAACGCCGCGUGCGGGAUGACGGCCUUCGGGUUGUAAACCGCUUUCGCCUGUGACGAAGCGUGAGUGACGGUAAUGGGUAAAGAAGCACCGGCUAACUACGUG
Molecule: ribosomal RNA, 468 nt
Filed under: uncultured bacterium
Lineage: Bacteria
Description: partial 16S ribosomal RNA
Rfam family: Bacterial small subunit ribosomal RNA
Source: RNAcentral